AGCAGCCGCGGUAAUUCCAGCUCCAAUAGCGUAUAUUAAAGUUGUUGCAGUUAAAAAGCUCGUAGUUGAAUUUCGGGAUCAGUAUGUUGGUCGUGCUUCGGUACGUACUGUCAUUACUGGUUUCUACCUUCUGAAGAACCUUGAUGUCAUUAAUUUGGUGUCUUGGGGAAUCGAGGUACUGUUACUUUGAAAAAAUUAGAGUGUUUAAAGCAAGCAUACGCUUGAAUACAUUAGCAUGGAAUAAUGAAAUAGGACGUUUGAUUCUAUUUUGUUGGUUUCUAGGAUCGACGUAAUGAUUAAUAGGGAUAGUUGGGGGCAUUAGUAUUCAAUUGUCAGAGGUGAAAUUCUUGGAUUUAUUGAAGACUAACUACUGCGAAAGCAUUUGCCAAGGAUGUUUUCAUUAAUCAAGAACGAAAGUUAGGGGAUCGAAGACGAUCAGAUACCGUCGUAGUCUUAACCAUAAACUAUGCCGACUAGGGAUCGGAUGAUGUUAUUUUUAAUGACUCAUUCGGCGCCUUAA
RNAcentral lists this ribosomal RNA (520 nucleotides) under uncultured Glomus. RNAcentral describes it as "SSU rRNA". It matches the Rfam family "Eukaryotic small subunit ribosomal RNA", at positions 569 to 1091 of the family's 1831-position model. Lineage: Eukaryota; Fungi; Glomeromycota; Glomeromycetes; Glomerales; Glomeraceae. The record is from RNAcentral.